CGCCGGCCUGAGAGAAUCGGCGCUCCUGUUGGAAUCGAAAUACGGAACACGGUGCGAAUCCGUGGCGGGCCCGCCGCUGUAACCGGGGACGAAGACUGCAUGGUCGCUAGACCAGCCACUUGCGAGCUUGACUCCGCAGGGAAGGCGCAGCGCUUCGGCUGAUCCGGAAGCCAGAAGACGAAUCGAUUCCUGACUGGAGCC
RNAcentral lists this non-coding RNA (201 nucleotides) under Dechloromonas aromatica (nom. nud.). The record is from RNAcentral. Lineage: Bacteria; Pseudomonadati; Pseudomonadota; Betaproteobacteria; Rhodocyclales; Azonexaceae.